UCAAGCGAACAAGGGCGCAGGGCGAAUGCCUUGGCACUGGGAGCCGAUGAAAGACGUGAUAAGCUGCGAUAAGCUUCGGGGAGCUGCAAAUAAGCAUUGAUCCGGAGAUUUCUGAAUGAGGAAACUCACCUGGGUUCAUACUCAGGUACGUUAUACUGAACUUAAAAAUAGGUAUAUCGAGGGAACCGCCUGAACUGAAACAUCUAAGUAGGGCGAGGAAGAGACAUCAAACGAGAUUCCGUAAGUAGUGGCGAGCGAACGCGGAAGAGGGCAAACCGAAGGUAGAAAUACCUUCGGGGUACGGACUGCUUUUAGGACUCAAUCUGUUAACCGAACGGCAUGGGAAGGCCGGUCAGAGAGUGUGAGAACCACGUAGGUGAAAACGGAGAGAGCUGCGCAGGAUCCAGAGUACGGCCAGACACGUGAAACCUGGUCGGAAGAUGGGGGGACCACCCUCCAACCCUAAAUACUACCCAGUGACCGAUAGCGUAUAGUACUGUGAAGGAAAGGUGAAAAGCACCCCGGGAGGGGAGUGAAAAAGAACCUGAAACCCUGUGCCUACAAGCACCUAGAGCACGUCAAAGUGUGAUAGGGUACUUUUUGUAGAACGGUCCGGCGAGCGAUUGUAUGCAGCAAGGUUAAGGACUUAAGGUCUGGAGCCGAAGCGAAAGCGAGUUUGAAAAGGGCGUUAAGUUGCAUAUAAUGGGCCCGAAACCGGGUGACCUACCCAUGGUCAGGUUGAAGUGGAAGUAAAAUUCCAUGGAGGACCGAACCGACCUCCGUUGAAAAGGCGGCGGAUGAACUGUGGGUAGCGGAGAAAUUCCAAUCGAACCCGGAGAUAGCUGGUUCUCCCCGAAAUAGUUUUAGGACUAGCCUCAAGUUAGAUACCUGGAGGUAAAGCACUGAAUAGCCUAGCGGCCGAGAGGUUAGCGAAGCUUAUCAAACUCAGAAUGCCAGAGUAUUGAUGCUUGGGAGUCAGACAGUGUCAGAUAAAUGUCAUUGUCAAAAGGGAAACAGCCCAGAUCUACAGCUAAGGUCCCAAAGUCAGGUUAAGUGGAAAACGAUGUGAAGAUACGCAGACAACCAGGAUGUUGGCUCAGAAGCAGCCACUCAUUCAAAGAGUGCGUAAUAGCUCACUGGUCGAGCGUCUUUGCGCGGAGAAUUUAACGGGGCUAAACCUGACACCGAAGCUUAGGCAAUACAGCAAUGUAUUGGGUAGGGGAGCGUUGUAUACGCGGUGAAACAGUAGCGCAAGCGGCUGUGGAGUGUAUAGAAGUGAGAAUGCCGGAAUGAGUAGCGCGAAUGCAGUGAGAAUCUGCAUGGCCGAAAGCCUCAGGUUUCUGGAGGAAGGUUCGUCCGCUCCAGGUUAGUCGGGAGCUAAGGUGAGGCCUAACGGCGUAGCCGAUGCACAGACGGUAGAGAUUCCGUCACCACCAAAAGAGUUAAGCACAGGGACACAUUUGAAGUCUCAGAGCCGGGUGUUGGUUCCGGUAGAGAUCGAGGGAAAUUAGUACCGAAGUCUGGGAUGGAAGAUGGCGAGAAAAGCUGUGUGUAUUUCUGAGGUGCCCGUACCGCAAACCGACACAGGUAGGUAGGAAGAAGAUUCUAAGGCCAACGGGAGAAGGGUUGUUAAGGAACUCGGCAAAUUGACCCCGUAACUUCGGGAGAAGGGGUGCUCCAGAGAUGGAGCCGCAGAGAAUCGGCCCAAGCAACUGUUUACCAAAAACACAGGUUUGUGCUAAAUCGAAAGAUGACGUAUACGAGCUGACGCCUGCCCGGUGCUGGAAGGUUAAGAGGAGAUGUGCAAGCAUUGAAUCGAAGCCCCAGUGAACGGCGGCCGUAACUAUAACGGUCCUAAGGUAGCGAAAUUCCUUGUCAGGU
This 1881-nucleotide ribosomal RNA is filed under the name human gut metagenome. RNAcentral describes it as "bacterial LSU rRNA". It matches the Rfam family "Bacterial large subunit ribosomal RNA", at positions 3 to 1977 of the family's 2925-position model. The record is from RNAcentral.